This is a long non-coding RNA of Quercus lobata, 2979 nucleotides long. RefSeq lists it as uncharacterized. The record is from RefSeq and is a predicted model, not a curated record. Lineage: Eukaryota; Viridiplantae; Streptophyta; Magnoliopsida; Fagales; Fagaceae. The transcript is spliced from 8 exons.
UCUCUCUCUCUCUCUCUCUCUCACACACACAUUGACACACUCACCGAGUCAUGAUAGAUAUUUUUUGAUAAGAAGGGGCACUGAGGCACAACACAAACAAAACAGAACAAAGCAACAAAGUCUCAUUAGAGUCAAGUGACUCUUUCUCUCUAGCAGUAAAAAGCAAACCCCACUCUCUUUUUCUUUCUUUCUAUCAUUCUCUCUCCCUCUCUCUACUUUCCUUAUUUGGCUGUUUUUGGUGCAGUGUUGUCGUCGGCACUGUUUGAUUUGUUCUGAGUAAAGUCAGGGGUUCUGGCUGUAUCACGGACACCUGUACGUUCUGCAUGAAUGAGAGAGAGAAAGAGAGAGAGAGAGAGCAAAAGAGAAUACAAAGCGAGACAAUAGUGAACGAAGAAAGAAAGAGUUUUUUUUUUUUGGUUUCUUUUUUCUUUGGGGGAGGGUGUUUUUCUUUCUUGGUCAAGUCUAAGGGGGAAAAAGAAAACCCUAAAUCCUGAUUGAAGUCUUUUCCGAGUUUCACACAGAAAGAGAAUGGAAUAAAAGAUUUUUAGUGAAUUUUGUGUGGUUUCCUUAAUUGGGUCUCGCUGUGUUUUCAGAUCUGACUCUUUCUUACUAUAUAUAUCUAUUUUUUCAUAGUAUUUCUUCUUUUGAGUCUGUAUGGUGAUUGGUGGGUGUUUUCUGUUUCCACAUUUGGGAAACUUUCUGUCUUUACUCAUUUCAUUCCUCUUUGUUUGAAAAUUCCAUAAUAUAUGCGGUCUCUGGGACAUAGAAAUUGACAGAAGAGAGUGAGCACACAGAGGCACUUGGUAUAAGUCUAUACUAUUGCUUUUGCGUGCUCACUUCUCUUUCUGUCACCUUCCAGUGCCGGUUUAGGUGCCAAAAAUCUUAUCUUUCCGGCCUGCUUUUUGUUCCAGAUCCUCUCUCUCUCUCUCUCUCUCUCUCUCAAACAUAUAUGCAAAUAUAUUUUCUCUAAUUUUAUGGGUGGAUACUUGUUUAUUUCAACCUUCAAGAACAGCUCGAGUAGACUGAAAGUGUAGUGUUUAUUCUUUGAAAUUGACAAAUGAUUUUAUGUUUAAUUAUUAGUAUAUGUUUUAUAAAUUGUUGAUUGUUUGAAAGCGUGACUUUUGAGGGUGUUUCUCUGAGAAGGUACGCUUGAUUACUGUGCGGAUUAGGCGGCAAAACAUGCUUAUAGCAUGGGACCAUUUACGUUAUAUAGGAGUAGUAGAAUGGUCCUAAUACAACUUGACUGCUCUUCCUUUUUUUCCCUUCUUUUUUUGAUUUCAGAUCUUUGAUAGUUAGUACUUAGGACCAGUAUUUUCAUGUUUGUGACUAUGUAGUGCCAUUUGGUUUAUAUUUUAUUCCUGCGCAUGCGUUUUCCACUCGAGAUUUGGUUCUGAUUGGAGUUUGUUCUCACCUGAAUCUAGCCAGAAUCUGAUUGCUAGCUUGUUCUCUCAGCUCAGAUACAUAUUUAUUUACUUAUUUUUCAUGGGUUUGAAACCCUAUUCUAGCUAUCACAGGGUUGCCUUUUGAUAGGAAUGGAUAAGGGUUUCCUAGGUCUGUAGUUUAGUCAAAAUCUCUUCAGUUACAUACCUACUAUUAUAUUUGAAUAUAUAUUAUUGAGUUUUUGGAGAAAACAAAUAAUUUCAGUCUAAUUUGUCAUUUUUGAUCUCAUAUAUUGUGAUUUGAUGGGAUGUAUUGAGUGUAGAAAAGAUGUGAACUCUUUUGGGUAUGGUUACGAUUGUAAGAAUUUUCCAGAUUUUAAGGAACUUCUUCAGCUGUUUUGUUUGCAGGCAGACAAGAAAUAUAGAAUCUUUUGAGGAACCGUCAACUCAAGUAUCGUGCACAAAAAUCUUGUCUCAAAAGAAAACGUGUGAAUUAGGUCUCGGCAUUUAAACAAUAAUGGUUUUAGUGUGUGGAGUCAUUUCAUGCGUUGAAUUGUGCUGGUAAAUGCUGUCGGUUGCUAGAUGGAAUGUUCAUAUAGCUUACUUGGCCAAGAAUGCAGAUUGCUUUAUGAAAAUGAAAUUUAGGAGUCUCCCAACUUUGCCGCGACAAGGUUCUUUCAAGCUUGCUUAAGAAAAUGAAGCUCCUUUCCAUGGUGACUAGUAGGAGUUCCCAAUAGAAAUGGCUAGGCCAUCUUACUUAAGCACGACAACAAAAUCAAGAUAUGAGGAUUUGAAAGAAGCUAAAGUGAAAGCUAUUUGGAAAGAUGUUCUUGAAAGCUCUGAUCCUGAAAGAAGCUAAAGUGAAAGCUAUUUGGAAAGAUGUUCUUGGAAGCUCUGAUCCUGAAAGAAGCUAAAGUGAAAGCUAUUUGGAAAGAUGUUCUUGGAAGCUCUUCUCAGUUGGAAUAAGGUGUUCAAGAGGCCUUGGUGUGAUUGCAAAUGUCUUUUACCAAAAGCUACAAUCCGUAGGUUUGAUUUCGAGAUUCAAUAUUACCAAAUGGGGUGUUCACGAGGUUGAGCCUUGGUGCAAUAACAAAUGCCUUUUACCAAAAGUGACAAGCUGUAGGUUUGAGUUGGAGAUUCAAUCUCUUCAAAUGGGGAGGAAGUUACACAGUUGGUCUUUCUACAAGGUAGAUUUGUAGCCCAAUGGUCUUUGGGCUUAGUGUCACCUCCAUCCUUGUUGGUGAGAAAAUACUGGGUUCAUACCUUCACCUAGCCAAAAAGGAAAAGGGGGUAGGAGUUAAGUAUAAUGGUAUUUGGCUUCAUGUAAUUUCAGGUCUUAAUUUGUUGCAUUUCUCUUGUAUACUUUCCGUGUACUGAGGCUUCACCCUUUCAUUUUGAUAAAAUCAUACAUACAUGUGUGUGAAGCCAUUUGGUGCAAGACACUCAUAGCUAUACCUGUACCCAAUUGCUUCAAGAAGCCAUUUGGUGCCUGUGUAUGAUGUUAAAACUAGGGCAGGGCUUUGAUCUCAAAUUUUCUUAAUGGUUUGCAUUUUAGGAUUUAACUUUGAGUCGCUCCCAAUAUGUUUGAAAAAUUCAGAAA